RNAcentral lists this ribosomal RNA (467 nucleotides) under uncultured Rhodoferax sp. Its description in RNAcentral is "bacterial SSU rRNA". It matches the Rfam family "Bacterial small subunit ribosomal RNA", at positions 910 to 1382 of the family's 1533-position model. Lineage: Bacteria; Pseudomonadati; Pseudomonadota; Betaproteobacteria; Burkholderiales; Comamonadaceae. The record is from RNAcentral.
UUGACGGGGCCGCACAAGCGGUGGAUGAUGUGGUUAAUUCGAUGCAACGCGAAAACCUUACCACCUUUGACAUGUACGGAAGCCUUUAGAGAUAGAGGCGUGCUCGAAAGAGAGCCGUAACACAGGUGCUGCAUGGCUGUCGUCAGCUCGUGUCGUGAGAUGCUGGGUUAAGUCCCGCAACGAGCGCAACCCUUGUCAUUAGUUGCUACAUUCAGUUGGGCACUCUAAUGAGACUGCCGGUGACAAGCCGGAGGAAGGUGGGGAUGACGUCAAGUCCUCAUGGCCCUUAUAGGUGGGGCUACACACGUCAUACAAUGGCUGGUACAAAGGGUUGCCAACCCGCGAGGGGGAGCUAAUCCCAUAAAGCCAGUCGUAGUCCGGAUCGUAGUCUGCAACUCGACUACGUGAAGUCGGAAUCGCUAGUAAUCGUGGAUCAGAAUGUCACGGUGAAUACGUUCCCGGGCCUU